UACGGAGGGUGCGGGCGUUGUCCGGAAUCACUGGGCGUAAAGGGCGCGUAGGCGGCCUGAUAAGUAGGGGGUGAAAUCCUGCGGCUUAACCGCAGGGCUGCCUUCUAAACUGUCAGGCUAGAGCACAGUAGAGGCAGGUGGAAUUCCCGGUGUAGCGGUGGAAUGCGUAGAGAUCGGGAAGAACAUCAGUGGCGAAGGCGGCCUGCUGGGCUGUUGCUGACGCUGAGGCGCGACAGCGUGGGGAGCAAACAGG
Molecule: ribosomal RNA, 253 nt
Filed under: uncultured bacterium
Lineage: Bacteria
Description: partial 16S ribosomal RNA
Rfam family: Bacterial small subunit ribosomal RNA
Source: RNAcentral